Molecule: transfer RNA, 83 nt
Filed under: Variovorax guangxiensis
Lineage: Bacteria; Pseudomonadati; Pseudomonadota; Betaproteobacteria; Burkholderiales; Comamonadaceae
Description: tRNA-Leu
Source: RNAcentral
GCCCGCAUGGAUGCUGGAAAUCGACUGGGACUCAAAAUCCCCCGCCGCAAGGCGUGCCGGUUCGAUUCCGGCCCCGGGCACCA